GACGAACGCUGGCGGCGUGCUUAACACAUGCAAGUCGAACGGAAAGGCCCUGCUUUUGUGGGGUGCUCGAGUGGCGAACGGGUGAGUAACACGUGAGUAACCUGCCCUUGACUUUGGGAUAACUUCAGGAAACUGGGGCUAAUACCGGAUAGGAGCUCCUGCUGCAUGGUGGGUGUUGGAAAGUUUCGGCGGUUGGGGAUGGACUCGCGGCUUAUCAGCUUGUUGGUGGGAUAGUGGCUUACCAAGGCUUUGACGGGUAGCCGGCCUGGGAGGGUGACCGGCCACAUUGGGACUGAGAUACGGGCCAGACUCCUACGGGAGGCAGCAGUGGGGAAUAUUGCACAAUGGGCGGAAGCCUGAUGCAGCAACGCCGCGUGCGGGAUGACGGCCUUCGGGUUGUAAACCGCUUUCGCCUGUGACGAAGCGUGAGUGACGGUAAUGGGUAAAGAAGCACCGGCUAACUACGUG
Molecule: ribosomal RNA, 468 nt
Filed under: uncultured bacterium
Lineage: Bacteria
Description: partial 16S ribosomal RNA
Rfam family: Bacterial small subunit ribosomal RNA
Source: RNAcentral